GUGGAUUAGAUACCCGGGUAGUCCACGCCCUAAACGAUGCGCGCUAGGUCUCUGGGUUUUCUGGGGGCCGAAGCCAACGCGUUAAGCGCGCCGCCUGGGGAGUACGGCCGCAAGGCUGAAACUCAAAGGAAUUGACGGGGGCCCGCACAAGCGGUGGAGCAUGUGGUUUAAUUCGAAGCAACGCGAAGAACCUUACCAGGCCUUGACAUGCUAGGGAACCUGCCUGAAAGGGUGGGGUGCCCCGCGAGGGGAGCCCUAGCACAGGUGCUGCACGGUCGUCGCCUGCU
Molecule: ribosomal RNA, 287 nt
Filed under: uncultured bacterium
Lineage: Bacteria
Description: partial 16S ribosomal RNA
Rfam family: Bacterial small subunit ribosomal RNA
Source: RNAcentral